GACGAACGCUGGCGGCGUGCUUAACACACGCAAGUCGAACGAUGAAACCUAGCUUGCUAGGUCGAUUAGUGGCGAACGGGUGAGUAACACGUGACUAACCUGCCCCUUUCUCUGGGAUAACGCUCCGAAAGGAGUGCUAAUACCGGAUACUCACAUCGAGGCACAUGCCUUGGUGUGGAAAGUUUUUCGGAAAGGGAUGGAGUCGCGGCCUAUCAGCUUGUUGGUGAGGUAACGGCUCACCAAGGCGACGACGGGUAGCCGGCCUGAGAGGGCGACCGGCCACACUGGGACUGAGACACGGCCCAGACUCCUACGGGAGGCAGCAGUGGGGAAUAUUGCACAAUGGGCGCAAGCCUGAUGCAGCGACGCCGCGUGAUGGAUGAAGGUCUUCGGAUUGUAAACCUCUUUCAGUAGGGACGAAGCGAAAGUGACGGUACCUAAAGAAGAAGCACCGGCUAACUACGUGCCAGCAGCCGCGGUAA
RNAcentral lists this ribosomal RNA (482 nucleotides) under uncultured bacterium. RNAcentral's name for it is "partial 16S ribosomal RNA". It matches the Rfam family "Bacterial small subunit ribosomal RNA", at positions 28 to 523 of the family's 1533-position model. The record is from RNAcentral.